RNAcentral lists this ribosomal RNA (252 nucleotides) under uncultured bacterium. RNAcentral describes it as "partial 16S ribosomal RNA". It matches the Rfam family "Bacterial small subunit ribosomal RNA", at positions 524 to 776 of the family's 1533-position model. The record is from RNAcentral.
UACGUAGGUCCCGAGCGUUGUCCGGAUUUAUUGGGCGUAAAGCGAGCGCAGGUGGUUUAUUAAGUCUGGUGUAAAAGGCAGUGGCUCAACCAUUGUAUGCAUUAGAAACUGGUAGACUUGAGUGCAGGAGAGGAGAGUGGAAUUCCAUGUGUAGCGGCGAAAUGCGUAGAUAUAUGGAGGAACACCGGUGGCGAAAGCGGCUCUCUGGCCUGUAACUGACACUGAGGCUCGAAAGCGUGGGGAGCAAACAGG